UGCUCCGCUCCAUCACAUGGUGGGGUGGGAAAUGCUUUUGCGGAAUGGGAUGGGGUCACGUCAUAGUCACCUUGUUGGCAGGGUGAUGGCCCACCAAAGCGUUGCACCGGUAGCCAGCAUGAGAAGGUGACCGGCCACAUUGACACUGAAAUACGGCCCAGACUCCUACCGCAGGCACCAAUGGGAAAUAUUGCACAAUGAAUCUCAAGCCUGAUGCAGACAACCCCACGUGCGGAAUCCACGCCUUCGAGUUGUAAACCGCUUUUGUUCAACGGCAAUGCACGGUUUCAGCCGUGUUGAGUGGAUUGUUCAAAUAAGCACCAGCUAACUACCUGCCACCACCCGCAGUAAUACGUAGGGUGCGAGCGUUAUCUUGAUUUAUUGUGCGUAAAGGGCUCAUAGGCGGUUCGUCGCGUCCGGAGUGAAAGUCCAUCGCCUAACGGUGUGAUCUGCGCCGGGUACGGGCGGGGUGGAGUGCGGUAGGGGAGACUGGAAUUCCCGGUGUAACGGUGGAAUGUGUAGAUAUCGGGAAGAACACCAAUGGCGAAGGCAGGUCUCUGGGCCGUCACUGACGCUGAGGAGCGAAAGCGUGGGGAGCGAACAGGAUUAGAUACCCUGGUAGUCCACGCCGUAAACGGUGGAUGCUGGAUGUGGGGCCCUUUCCACGGGUCCCGUGUCGGAGCCAACGCGUUAAGCAUCCCGCCUGGGGAGUACGGCCGCAAGGCUAAAACUCAAAGAAAUUGACGGGGGCCCGCACAAGCGGCGGAGCAUGCGGAUUAAUUCGAUGCAACGCGAAGAACCUUACCUGGGCUUGACAUGUGCCGGAUCGCCGUGGAGACACGGUUUCCCUUCGGGGCCGGUUCACAGGUGGUGCAUGGUCGUCGUCAGCUCGUGUCGUGAGAUGUUGGGUUAAGUCCCGCAACGAGCGCAACCCUCGCCGCAUGUUGCCAGCGGGUGAUGCCGGGAACUCAUGUGGGACCGCCGGGGUCAACUCGGAGGAAGGUGGGGAUGACGUCAGAUCAUCAUGCCCCUUACGUCCAGGGCUUCACGCAUGCUACAAUGGCCGGUACAACGCGGUGCGACACGGUGACGUGGGGCGGAUCGCUGAAAACCGGUCUCAGUUCGGAUCGCAGUCUGCAACUCGACUGCGUGAAGGCGGAGUCGCUAGUAAUCGCGGAUCAGCAACGC
This 1188-nucleotide ribosomal RNA is filed under the name uncultured Bifidobacterium sp. RNAcentral describes it as "bacterial SSU rRNA". It matches the Rfam family "Bacterial small subunit ribosomal RNA", at positions 173 to 1357 of the family's 1533-position model. The record is from RNAcentral. Lineage: Bacteria; Bacillati; Actinomycetota; Actinomycetes; Bifidobacteriales; Bifidobacteriaceae.